CAGGCCUAACACAUGCAAGUCGAGCGGUAGAGAGAAGCUUGCUUCUCUUGAGAGCGGCGGACGGGUGAGUAAUGCCUAGGAAUCUGCCUGGUAGUGGGGGAUAACGUUCGGAAACGGACGCUAAUACCGCAUACGUCCUACGGGAGAAAGCAGGGGACCUUCGGGCCUUGCGCUAUCAGAUGAGCCUAGGUCGGAUUAGCUAGUUGGUGAGGUAAUGGCUCACCAAGGCUACGAUCCGUAACUGGUCUGAGAGGAUGAUCAGUCACACUGGAACUGAGACACGGCCCAGACUCCUACGGGAGGCAGCAGUGGGGAAUUUUGGACAAUGGGCGAAAGCCUGAUCCAGCCAUGCCGCGUGUGUGAAGAAGGCCUUAGGGUUGUAAAGCACUUUCAGGGGUGAGGAAGGGUAGCUAGUUAAUACCUAGUUAUUUUGACGUUAGCCCCAGAAGAAGCACCGGCUAACUCUGUGCCAGCAGCCGCGGUAAUACAGAGGGUGCAAGCGUUAAUCGGAAUUACUGGGCGUAAAGCGCGCGUAGGUGGUUUGUUAAGUUGGAUGUGAAAUCCCCGGGCUCAACCUGGGAACUGCAUUCAAAACUGACUGACUAGAGUAUGGUAGAGGGUGGUGGAAUUUCCUGUGUAGCGGUGAAAUGCGUAGAUAUAGGAAGGAACACCAGUGGCGAAGGCGACCACCUGGACUGAUACUGACACUGAGGUGCGAAAGCGGGGGGAGCAAACAGGAUUAGAUACCCUGGUAGUCCACGCCGUAAACGAUGUCAACUAGCCGUUGGGAGCCUUGAGCUCUUAGUGGCGCAGCUAACGCAUUAAGUUGACCGCCUGGGGAGUACGGCCGCAAGGUUAAAACUCAAAUGAGUUGACGGGGGCCCGCACAAGCGGUGGAGCAUGUGGUUUAAUUCGAAGUAACGCGAAGAACCUUACCAGGCCUUGACAUCCAAUGAACUUUCUAGAGAUAGAUUGGUGCCUUCGGGAACAUUGAGACAGGUGCUGCAUGGCUGUCGUCAGCUCGUGUCGUGAGAUGUUGGGUUAAGUCCCGUAACGAGCGCAACCCUUGUCCUUAGUUACCAGCACGUAAUGGUGGGCACUCUAAGGAGACUGCCGGUGACAAACCGGAGGAAGGUGGGGAUGACGUCAAGUCAUCAUGGCCCUUACGGCCUGGGCUACACACGUGCUACAAUGGUCGGUACAGAGGGUUGCCAAGCCGCGAGGUGGAGCUAAUCCCAGAAAACCGAUCGUAGUCCGGAUCGCAGUCUGCAACUCGACUGCGUGAAGUCGGAAUCGCUAGUAAUCGCGAAUCAGAAUGUCGCGGUGAAUACGUUCCCGGGCCUUGUACACACCGCCCGU
This 1359-nucleotide ribosomal RNA is filed under the name uncultured bacterium. Its description in RNAcentral is "bacterial SSU rRNA". It matches the Rfam family "Bacterial small subunit ribosomal RNA", at positions 43 to 1397 of the family's 1533-position model. The record is from RNAcentral.